Molecule: ribosomal RNA, 627 nt
Filed under: uncultured bacterium
Lineage: Bacteria
Description: bacterial SSU rRNA
Rfam family: Bacterial small subunit ribosomal RNA (bases 1-542)
Source: RNAcentral
CCUACGGGAGGCAGCAGUGGGGAAUUUUGGACAAUGGGCGAAAGCCUGAUCCAGCAAUGCCGCGUGUGGGAAGAAGGCCUUCGGGUUGUAAACCACUUUUGUACGGAACGAAACGGUUCGCUUUAAUACAGUGGGCUAAUGACGGUACCGUAAGAAUAAGCACCGGCUAACUACGUGCCAGCAGCCGCGGUAAUACGUAGGGUGCGAGCGUUAAUCGGAAUUACUGGGCGUAAAGCGUGCGCAGGCGGUCAUAUAAGACAGUUGUGAAAUCCCCGGGCUCAACCUGGGAAUUGCAUCUGUGACUGUAUAGCUAGAGUACGGUAGAGGGGGAUGGAAUUCCGCGUGUAGCAGUGAAAUGCGUAGAUAUGCGGAGGAACACCGAUGGCGAAGGCAAUCCCCUGGACCUGUACUGACGCUCAUGCACGAAAGCGUGGGGAGCAAACAGGAUUAGAUACCCUGGUAGUCCACGCCCUAAACGAUGUCAACUGGUUGUUGGGUGCAUUAGUACUCAGUAACGAAGCUAACGCGUGAAGUUGGCCGCCUGGGGAGGUACGGCCGCGAGUAGAACGUACGAAUAGAAGUAGUACGGCGUGAGACGUGACCGACGGACGACGACGAGGGAGGAGG